RNAcentral lists this ribosomal RNA (253 nucleotides) under uncultured bacterium. Its description in RNAcentral is "partial 16S ribosomal RNA". It matches the Rfam family "Bacterial small subunit ribosomal RNA", at positions 524 to 777 of the family's 1533-position model. The record is from RNAcentral.
UACGAGGGGGCAAGCGUUGUUCGGAAUUAUUGGGCGUAAAGGGCGCGUAGGCGGUUUGACAAGUCUGAUGUGAAAUCUAUGGGCUCAACCCAUAGCCUGCAUUAGAAACUGUCGGGCUUGAGUAUGGGAGAGGUGAGUGGAAUUUCCGGUGUAGCGGUGAAAUGCGUAGAUAUCGGAAGGAACACCUGUGGCGAAAGCGGCUCACUGGACCAUAACUGACGCUGAGGCGCGAAAGCUAGGGGAGCAAACAGGG